Molecule: ribosomal RNA, 497 nt
Filed under: uncultured bacterium
Lineage: Bacteria
Description: partial 16S ribosomal RNA
Rfam family: Bacterial small subunit ribosomal RNA
Source: RNAcentral
GAUGAACGCUGGCGGCGUGCCUAAUACAUGCAAGUCGAGCGAACAGACGAGGAGCUUGCUCCUCUGACGUUAGCGGCGGACGGGUGAGUAACACGUGGAUAACCUACCUAUAAGACUGGGAUAACUUCGGGAAACCGGGGCUAAUACCGGAUAAUAUAUUGAACCGCAUGGUUCAAUAGUGAAAGACGGUUUUGCUGUCACUUAUAGAUGGAUCCGCGCCGCAUUAGCUAGUUGGUAAGGUAACGGCUUACCAAGGCAACGAUGCGUAGCCGACCUGAGAGGGUGAUCGGCCACACUGGAACUGAGACACGGUCCAGACUCCUACGGGAGGCAGCAGUAGGGAAUCUUCCGCAAUGGGCGAAAGCCUGACGGAGCAACGCCGCGUGAGUGAUGAAGGUCUUCGGAUCGUAAAACUCUGUUAUUAGGGAAGAACAAAUGUGUAAGUAACUAUGCACGUCCUGACGGUACCUAAUCAGAAAGCCACGGCUAACUACGUG